GGGAGCCGCUUCCGGGCACGCCUCUCCUGGGAAGAUUGACAUUCCGCUGAGGCCCCGCCCCCGAAAGGAACUUCCGCUCGCUCUCUGAAGGCCAAAACCACGGAGCUUCUAAAGCAGGCCUGGGCCAACUUGGGCCUUCUCUCCAGUUGUUUUGGACUUCAACUCCCAUCAUUCCUCACAGCCUCAGGCCCCUUCCUUUUCCCCCUCAGCCGCUUAAGCGGCUGAGGGGGAAAAGGAAAGGGCCUGAGGCUGUGAGGAAUGAUGGGAGUUGAAGUCCAAAGCACCUCGAGGGCCCAAGUAGGCCCAGGCCUGCUGUAAAGAAGUAGACUCUCAACUAGACUUGGAACUGAAUUCCAAACGCCAUCCAAUUUGGGGUUCUUUCAGCCAGGCAGGAGGACACCAUCAAAACCCUCCUGACAGAUGGCCAUCAAGUUUCUUCUUGAAAGCCUCUACAGAAGGGUAACUCCUUCCCGCAGGAGAAACUGCCGGAUGAACUGCUGGGCCUGACGCUUCUCUGCAAUGCCGGGCUUGGGGUGCCCAGGAGGGGGGCGCAGCAGGAGGCCCCCAAAGAGGCUGGCUGCAAGGCAAGGAAGGGGAGGAAGGAAGGAAGGACAACAGUCAACAGAAACCCAAAAGCCAUACAGGGAGAUCAUCCUGAGUGGGGUCUCCCUCAUCCAGAGCCAUGGCCCAGCACUGAGUGACCAAACACUUUUGUUCCUUUACCCAGAAUAUUCACGUCCAAGUGGUUUUUUGCAGAAUGUCGGAGCAGCUCCCGUAGGAAAGCCAUCAGGUAACUGAAGACAUUCCUGUGGCACCUGGGCAGAGUGGACACCACCUGAGAGGAAGAGGAAAGGGCAGGGAGCCAUUGUGUACUGAGGUGGCCAUGCACUCUGUGACCCAGGCUUGACCCCACCCCCAGGGCCAUCUGCCUCACCUGCGUGCUCAGGAUGUAGCUGUCAGCACACUCCAGGCAGUUGUCGUAGAGGUUGGAGCAGAUGACCGGCUCAGGGAGGCUCUCCAGGAAGAGGAGCAGCGCUUCAGCCACAGAAUGGUUGCUGCCCACUGGAAGACAAAGAUUAAGGAAAAGGCGAGGAGGGCCCAGACGGAAAGCAUGGCUCAAAGGGUGGGCUCUUGGGACAGUCCCCAUAACAACCAAACUGGGAUAUUUUUCCUUUUCUCUGGAACAGAGCACUACAAUCUAGCGUACUGAGAGAAACUGAAAAGCAUUAAUGGACAAUUUUGAACUAUGGGAAUCGGGCAUCUGUGGAGGUCAGAGGGGAAGAAGACAUUCGUUUUGAGAGGACCAGCUGGCAUAAAUCCUGGUCUGGAUCCAUGAAAAGGGAUCAGUGCUGGAGGUCCAUACGCUGGGGCAAUAAAUCUACACCAGGUUCUAAUCCAGACAUUAAAGGAGACUCUCCAUAUCCCAAAAUAGGCUCAGCAUCUUUGACUGCUCCUUGACAGUCAAGACCUGAGAGCCUUUAGCCUCCUCUACAUCAAAGUUAUAAAAUAGCAGUGUCUCGUCAUUCAAAGAAGUUGUCUUUUUGUAAACACAACAUUGGGUGUCCUACCUCCCCAAGCACAAGGCAGCUUUUGGGCCCCAGAGAGGCCAUGCAAUGCUUCUGGCACUGCCCACAAAGGAUACCCAGCAUGUCUAUCAAUCCAGUGUCCAGGCAAUCGCGGAUUUGUUCAAAUUCAGACCGCAGACCCGGCUGCUGGAACAGGUCUUCCUGUAAAGAAAGAGAGAGGCAUUGCAGCACAGAACUGUGAGAAGGAGCAAGGAAAAGGUCUGCUGGAAACAUGUAUCCUCAUUCCUAUUCAGAAAUGCAACUCAGCCAUCUUCUGCUGCUUCCCCAUGUAUCCCUUGUACUCUCUUUGCAGUGGCAAAGCACAGACAAAGCCUUACGGCUGAAAACAGAAGCUCCACAAAAGACUCUCCUGACUCAUGUCUAUUUCAUCCCCAUCAACUUCAUAGCUAAAUUCAGCCUUUUACUUCAUUAGGGUUAUAAAUCAUGUUGCUUAUA
Molecule: long non-coding RNA, 2021 nt
Organism: Anolis carolinensis (green anole)
Lineage: Eukaryota; Metazoa; Chordata; Lepidosauria; Squamata; Anolidae
Exons: 2
Source: RefSeq, a predicted model, not a curated record